UACGGAGGGGGCUAGCGUUGUUCGGAAUUACUGGGCGUAAAGCGCACGUAGGCGGCUUUGUAAGUUAGAGGUGAAAGCCCGGAGCUCAACUUCGGAAUUGCCUUUAAGACUGCAUCGCUUGAAUCAUGGAGAGGUCAGUGGAAUUCCGAGUGUAGAGGUGAAAUUCGUAGAUAUUCGGAAGAACACCAGUGGCGAAGGCGACUGACUGGACAUGUGUUGACGCUGAGGUGCGAAAGCGUGGGGAGCAAACAGG
RNAcentral lists this ribosomal RNA (253 nucleotides) under uncultured bacterium. RNAcentral describes it as "partial 16S ribosomal RNA". It matches the Rfam family "Bacterial small subunit ribosomal RNA", at positions 524 to 776 of the family's 1533-position model. The record is from RNAcentral.